UACGUAGGUGGCAAGCGUUAUCCGGAAUUAUUGGGUGUAAAGCGCGCGUAGGCGGUUUUUUAAGUCUGAUGUGAAAGCCCACGGCUCAACCGUGGAGGGUCAUUGGAAACUGGAAAACUUGAGUGCAGAAGAGGAAAGUGGAAUUCCAUGUGUAGCGGUGAAAUGCGCAGAGAUAUGGAGGAACACCAGUGGCGAAGGCGACUUUCUGGUCUGUAACUGACGCUGAUGUGCGAAAGCGUGGGGAUCAAAC
RNAcentral lists this ribosomal RNA (250 nucleotides) under uncultured Staphylococcus sp. RNAcentral's name for it is "partial 16S ribosomal RNA". It matches the Rfam family "Bacterial small subunit ribosomal RNA", at positions 524 to 773 of the family's 1533-position model. Lineage: Bacteria; Bacillati; Bacillota; Bacilli; Caryophanales; Staphylococcaceae. The record is from RNAcentral.